This 86-nucleotide transfer RNA is filed under the name Shimia haliotis. RNAcentral describes it as "tRNA_Leu_CAA". It matches the Rfam family "tRNA". From Rfam's summary of the family: Transfer RNA (tRNA) molecules are approximately 80 nucleotides in length. Their secondary structure includes four short double-helical elements and three loops (D, anti-codon, and T loops). The record is from RNAcentral. Lineage: Bacteria; Pseudomonadati; Pseudomonadota; Alphaproteobacteria; Rhodobacterales; Roseobacteraceae. RNAcentral also lists the same sequence under 1 other name.
GCCCAAGUGGCGGAAUGGUAGACGCAGGGGAUUCAAAAUCCCCCGCCAGCGAUGGCGUGCCGGUUCGAGUCCGGCCUUGGGUACCA